This 253-nucleotide ribosomal RNA is filed under the name uncultured bacterium. RNAcentral describes it as "partial 16S ribosomal RNA". It matches the Rfam family "Bacterial small subunit ribosomal RNA", at positions 524 to 776 of the family's 1533-position model. The record is from RNAcentral.
UACAUGGGGUGCAAACGUUGCUCGGAAUUAUUGGGCGUAAAGCGCGCGCAGGCGGUCAUCUACGUCUGGGGUGAAAGCCCGGAGCUCAACUCCGGGAUUGCCUUGGAUACGGGAUGACUUGAGGAUCGGAGAGGCAAGGGGAAUUCCACGUGUAGCGGUGAAAUGCGUAGAGAUGUGGAGGAACACCUGUGGCGAAGGCGCCUUGCUGGCCGAUUUCUGACGCUGAGGCGCGAAAGCGUGGGGAGCAAACAGG